GAUGAACGCUAGCGGCAGGCCUAACACAUGCAAGUCGAGGGGUAGAGUUCUUCGGGACUUGAGACCGGCGCACGGGUGCGUAACGCGUAUGCAAUCUACCUUAUACAGGGGAAUAGCCCAGAGAAAUUUGGAUUAAUGCCCCAUAGUGUUAUCGAAUCGCAUGGUUUGAUAACUAAAGUUCCAACGGUAUAAGAUGAGCAUGCGUCCCAUUAGUUAGUUGGUAAGGUAACGGCUUACCAAGACAAUGAUGGGUAGGGUCCUGAGAGGGAGAUCCCCCANACUGGUACUGAGACACGGACCAGACUCCUACGGGAGCAGCAGUGAGGAAUAUU
This 332-nucleotide ribosomal RNA is filed under the name uncultured bacterium. RNAcentral describes it as "bacterial SSU rRNA". It matches the Rfam family "Bacterial small subunit ribosomal RNA", at positions 28 to 365 of the family's 1533-position model. The record is from RNAcentral.